AGUGAACGCUGGCGGUAGGCCUAACACAUGCAAGUCGAACGGCAGCACAGUAAGAGCUUGCUCUUACGGGUGGCGAGUGGCGGACGGGUGAGGAAUACAUCGGAAUCUACUUUUUCGUGGGGGAUAACGUAGGGAAACUUACGCUAAUACCGCAUACGACCUACGGGUGAAAGCAGGGGAUCUUCGGACCUUGCGCGAUUGAAUGAGCCGAUGUCGGAUUAGCUAGUUGGCGGGGUAAAGGCCCACCAAGGCGACGAUCCGUAGCUGGUCUGAGAGGAUGAUCAGCCACACUGGAACUGGGACACGGUCCAGACUCCUACGGGAGGCAGCAGUGGGGAAUAUUGGACAAUGGGCGCAAGCCUGAGCCAGCCAUACCGCGUGGGUGAAGAAGGCCUUCGGGUUGUAAAGCCCUUUUGUUGGGAAAGAAAAGCAGCAGGUUAAUACCCCGCUGUUCUGACGGUACCCAAAGAAUAAGCACCGGCUAACUUCGU
Molecule: ribosomal RNA, 491 nt
Filed under: uncultured bacterium
Lineage: Bacteria
Description: partial 16S ribosomal RNA
Rfam family: Bacterial small subunit ribosomal RNA
Source: RNAcentral